Molecule: ribosomal RNA, 466 nt
Filed under: uncultured bacterium
Lineage: Bacteria
Description: bacterial SSU rRNA
Rfam family: Bacterial small subunit ribosomal RNA
Source: RNAcentral
GAGCGGAGAUGAGGUGCUUGCACCUUAUCUUAGCGGCGGACGGGUGAGUAAUGCUUAGGAAUCUGCCUAUUAGUGGGGGACAACAUUCCGAAAGGAAUGCUAAUACCGCAUACGUCCUACGGGAGAAAGCAGGGGAUCUUCGGACCUUGCGCUAAUAGAUGAGCCUAAGUCGGAUUAGCUAGUUGGUGGGGUAAAGGCCUACCAAGGCGACGAUCUGUAGCGGGUCUGAGAGGAUGAUCCGCCACACUGGGACUGAGACACGGCCCAGACUCCUACGGGAGGCAGCAGUGGGGAAUAUUGGACAAUGGGGGGAACCCUGACCCAGCCAUGCCGCGUGUGUGAAGAAGGCCUUAUGGUUGUAAAGCACUUUAAGCGAGGAGGAGGCUACUGAGACUAAUACUCUUGGAUAGUGGACGUUACUCGCAGAAUAAGCACCGGCUAACUCUGUGCCAGCAGCCGCGGUAAU